RNAcentral lists this ribosomal RNA (206 nucleotides) under uncultured bacterium. RNAcentral describes it as "partial 16S ribosomal RNA". It matches the Rfam family "Bacterial small subunit ribosomal RNA", at positions 568 to 773 of the family's 1533-position model. The record is from RNAcentral.
UGCGUAGGCGGCGCGGUAAGUCGGGUGUGAAAUCUCGGGGCUUAACUCCGAAACUGCAUUCGAUACUGCCGUGCUUGAGGACUGGAGAGGAGACUGGAAUUUACGGUGUAGCGGUGAAAUGCGUAGAUAUCGUAAGGAAGACCAGUGGCGAAGGCGGGUCUCUGGACAGUUCCUGACGCUGAGGCACGAAGGCCAGGGGAGCAAAC